Long non-coding RNA from Pleuronectes platessa (European plaice), 724 nucleotides. RefSeq lists it as uncharacterized. The record is from RefSeq and is a predicted model, not a curated record. The transcript is spliced from 2 exons. Lineage: Eukaryota; Metazoa; Chordata; Actinopteri; Pleuronectiformes; Pleuronectidae.
GGGGAGAGGAUGCAGUCGAUCACUCCGAAACGCAUCGAGGGCGAUCGAAUGGAGAGCCUGUUUUUGUGAAGCUUCUGCAAGUCUGCAAAAGACACUGAUCAUCUGAGUGUCUUUUUUAGGUAGAUACACAAUAGGUGAUAAGUCUUUACCAGUCUCUGAACAUUUGGUAAAGACUUAAAGCCUGGAAGACUGAGAAGAGCGUGCAAUCAUAAAGAUAAGAGGAUUUGGAAGCUGAGCGACCAGGACAGCAGAUCUGGUGAUGCUGUAGCAGCACGGAAUGGUUUGUGGGUUAAAUUGAGAUGCAGGCCAUACUGUGCUGCAGCAGGAAAACCAGAAUUUACAACCUAGAUGUCACUGUAGACAUUCAAACCUGUUACCUUUUUCACUGUUGACAAUCAUCUGCAUAUACAGUAGUCUCCACAAUCUGAAUUGAUACCACACAGAGUUGUUCCUGAUUACAAAAGUGGUCACCCUCAUCUUCUGGUCGUUUUACUGUAGCAGCACGUAAAUAUUGGAGUUAAGACAUUUGCUGAAGCCUCCAAUAUUGAUCGUGCUGCUGUAGCAAAGCUGACCACUUGCAUCCAGUGCAGUUAACGGUGGCUUUUCUCACAGGUAUGUAUUUUACUCACCAAUUGUAUUUGACUGUUAAAACACGCAAAGGUCUUAUUCUUUACGUUUCACUGUUCUGUCUGUGCACUUUCAAAAUAAAAAAAAUUAAAUCGGA